AGCAAGAAAAUGUUCUGUUCUGUGUCUCUGUUCCAUCCCUGCUGCCCUGGGAGCUGUGUCCUGCUGGAUGUCUUUGCCCAGUGCUUGUUUGUCAGCACACGUUGGCUGGCUGCUGCUCCCAGUGGCAGACCUGCUGGUGGGGAAAGAGCUGAAGAUUUUGGGGUCUCACAGCCUGGCAGAGGUCAGAGUAGAGCACUUGAGCAUUAGCUGCAAGUUCUUCUAGUGAGUCUGUCUUCCUCGAAGGAUGCUGAACGGAAGGAAUUGUGAUUACUCAUGCUGUGGUUAAGCUCAGGAACCUGAGUUUGGACUGAGUCUUGUUUGUUUUGGUAGUGAACAAGACAUGAUGAAUGGAUAAGCAGCUUCCACAGAGCCCACAGUCUGUAUAAAUUAAAGUUGUGAUCUCUGCUCCACAGAGGUCGAAUAUGUAA
This is a long non-coding RNA of Vidua chalybeata, 428 nucleotides long. RefSeq lists it as uncharacterized. Lineage: Eukaryota; Metazoa; Chordata; Aves; Passeriformes; Viduidae. The transcript is spliced from 2 exons. The record is from RefSeq and is a predicted model, not a curated record.